UUAGUACAUAUCGUCACCUGAAAUGCAAAUUAACGUAACAACAUUUUCAGAAAUUCACAGUGGCAUGAAUGAAACACGGAAUAAAAUGGAACAUGAGUGAAACAAAAUAUUAAUAUUGGUUAAAACUGGUUUAUAUAUGACCGCAGAACCAGAAAAUGUUGAACAUAUUUAAUAUUAUGUAUAUAAUUUGAAGUAGUGAAGCGUAAUCAAUAAGACACUCAAUUUCGAAUUUUUUGAUGAUACGUUAUUUUGCAUUUCAGAAAUUCACAGUGGCAUGAAUGAAACACGGAAUAAAAUGGAACAUGAGUGAAACAAAAUAUUAAUAUUGGUUAAAACUGGUAUAUAUAUGACCGCAGAACCAGAAAAUGUUGAACAUAUUUAAUAUUAUGUAUAUAAUUUGAAGUAGUGAAGCGUAAUCAAUAAGACACUCAAUUUCGAAUUUUUUGAUGAUACGUUAUUUUGCAUUUCAGGUGACGAUAUGC
This is a long non-coding RNA of Bactrocera dorsalis (oriental fruit fly), 482 nucleotides long. RefSeq lists it as uncharacterized. NCBI's taxonomy places the organism in Eukaryota, Metazoa, Arthropoda, Insecta, Diptera, Tephritidae. The transcript has 2 exons. The record is from RefSeq and is a predicted model, not a curated record.